Coffea eugenioides is the source of this 4363-nucleotide long non-coding RNA. RefSeq lists it as uncharacterized. The transcript is spliced from 4 exons. NCBI's taxonomy places the organism in Eukaryota, Viridiplantae, Streptophyta, Magnoliopsida, Gentianales, Rubiaceae. The record is from RefSeq and is a predicted model, not a curated record.
UCCCUGCUAUUCUCCUCAUCUCACACACCUUUCUCUUUCAACAUCAACUUUUAGGUAUUCAUAUUCCCUGUCUCUCCUCGAGAAACACUCCAGCCCAGAACAAUUAUAUCGCCUUUCAUUCAUCUCUGAUCUCUUCAGAGUCCAAACUCAAACUCCUCCUUUGCUGGAUUCUUGAUUAGCAGUCUUUGACAGUUUAAAGGCAUACUUCAUAUCUUCAAAUCGCUCCAUAAAUUGCAUGUCUUUGAUGCCUUUUGCUGAGAUCAGGAGAUGCUAAAAACCAUUGAUAAAAAUUCAAUCUUGGUCAUUCUAUGCACGGAUUCUUUUUAUUUUCAGCCUCAGGGUUUUAACAGGUAUUCAGCUGUCAAGGUUUGAUUGUUCGGCCCGUCUUGCCUUAUCAUGGCAUCUAUUGGUAAACUUGCUCCAGAAUUUGCUGAUAGUUAAGGAUUCUUCAAUGUAGGUGUUUCAAAAUGCCAUUGCAGAUCCCUGUGUGCAUCCUUUCUAAUAUAGAUGCUCUUCAUUUUGGCUUGAGUUAGUCUGCACCAAGAGUUGAUUCUAACUUGGUUACCUGGAGCUCUGCUACUAUUUCAUGGAACUUAAGGCAAAACUUUGCAGUUGGAAGAUAAAGUCCUCAAUGUACAGGAGACAUUCUGACCAUGCUUCUUCUUGAAAAGCUUGAACUCCCAACAUCAAAAUAGUGUUAUUCGGUCUUUAAGGAGAUUUUGCAAGCUCUACAGUUCAGAUGUUACAGUAGAAUGACAUUUAGGAUAAAGAGCUUGUUACUUUUGAAUGUUUGACCUGCUUUGGCUACAAAGGCUUUUUCCCUGUUUUUAGAAUACAUGAAGGCUUCCUUUUGGUUGGUAAUAGAUUGUGCCUGGUAUAAUCAAUAAUCAACCUACUUACCUAUAGUUGAACGUACGGUUACAUAUCUCCUUGUUUCAUUGAGUAGUUUAAUGACAGAAGAAGAUCAAAAGGUGAACUUUCCAAUAAAGUGACCUGUUACUCUAUGGUAGCAUGACCUUUUGAAGUGUCUGGUUGAGGAGGAUUUUGUAAUAUGAAUAUUUCUCCUGUUGAACCCUCAUUUUCAAUCUUUACUUUUGGUUGCAUUUGUCCAUAUAGUUUGGAGAAGUAUAUUUUAUUUACUUUUUCUUUAGCUGAAUUGCAUCAGAGUGAAUGAGUGGAUAAGUUACAUUCCGUAUUGAUUUUUCUCAGUGGAGGACUUUAAAGGCUUAUACCCAUGCCAUUACUACCGGGAGUAACCUAGAUUCCAAAGUUUGUUAUUUACCAAUGCUGGACGGCUCUUGAUUUUCACCAAGUAGUGAAUUUACCCCCAAGUUGUUUGUAGAGUUUGGAUUACAAGUCACACUUGCUGAAGUCGAAAUUCAUGCUGGAAUCAGGUUAUCAGCAUAAUAAUGGAUCUAAGAAUGAGUUUAAGAUUGAGAAAGGAAUUAAAGGUCUGUAGGAUUAGUCAUUGGGAAUUUCUGUGCUUUCUUUGAUCCAAUUUUGGAAGCCCAAACAAGUCUAAUUAACAUCACAUUUAUAAUGUGAUAUUCUUGGUUUGGCUUCCACAGAAAGGGUCUAGCAAUUAGUUUAACUGUUUCUGAUAUGGUGGAUAUUGUGAUUGUUGGACUAUCAUGCCAACAAAGUUUUUUCUGGUUCCUUUCUACAUUAGGCAUUCUUUUGAAACAGUGUUAGAUCCAUGUUACCAGCCAAGAACCAAAAACUUUCACGUCUAAAAUAUUGUCAACCAAGUAUUAUUAAAUAUGGUCUCUCCUUUCCUUACAGCAGGAUGAGUCAAUUAGCACUUGUUCUGCUGCUCUCUCUCUCCUUUUUUCCUCUCUUCUUUUGAGAGUGAAUCCUUGUAGCUUGAAGAGGCACUGAGGAACCACAGCCCAGGAUAAAAGAAGCAACUACUGAUUUGGGAAGUUUUUAUCCCCAAAAUAUAGAAUAGUCCUUAAAUCAUUGUUUUCUCAUUUUACACCCUUCUGGUACUACCCAACAGUGAGAACUGAGUUUCUCCUGUUCUGCUACCAAAACUUGAAUGCCUAAUGUCCUCAUGGUAGUGCUUCACAUGGUGUUUAAUGAUGCAUCUUUACUUCUUAUCUCCUUUUGCAACCAUAUUUCAUUUCCAUCUUUGACUUCUUGUCUACCUUGUUUGUUCUUUGAAAUUGCUCCGCCUUUCAAGACUUAAAAAUGAUUUUAAAAAGGGGUAAAUGGAAGCAUCCUCAAAGUACCAGUAUGACAUACCCCUCAUCUUUUUGAGUGCACCAUUUAGUUGCAAGUCUUUAUUGGUUCUUUUGAAUCAUCAUUCAUCUGAGAUGUUUUCAGACAUAAUUAAAAUAUGCAUAUCUGACAUUGAGUAUGUCAGAUCUUGCGGCUAGAUAUUGUAACAACAAAGGCCAUGCUUUGUCACAUUGGGCCUUAUGCUCUUGCUUACCCUCAUAUCUCUGCCCUGUCAGAGGGGCUUCCUCAAUCCAAGUUAUUGAGAUGGUCAACAACUAACCCAAAAGUAGAUGGCCUAUGGCAGAUUCCAAACUGAAAUUUAUUGCCCUGAAAUCCAACUCUUACGAAGGCAGAGUUGAUUGUUUAAUUUUCUCAUCCUACUCCAAACAGAUCAUCUUGCUUUUCCCUUCUUUAGAAAGCCCAGGGGAUGUUAAGUGACGUAGAAUAAUUACCCUAGACACUGCAGGUGCAGAGAACAACAUUUUGGAGACUCUAAAGCAUAAAGCAGACAGUUUCUGUGCAUAUAACCAAUGAGCUGUGCCUUAAUGGGUCUAUGUCUAUCAAUACUGCAAACUAACUCGUAACUUAUGGUACUAUUUGUUGUCUAGAUUUUGUAUGUUUUUCAGUCAUUCCAUUUCUUCUCCUUCGAUUGAUAAAAACAAAAUCCAACUGUUAUGAAGCUAGAAUCUGAGCCUUCUUUGAAUAUCUGUAACUAGGAAGCCAUUGAACUUAGUUAUGAUGUAGUACAUCAUGGAGUUCUGCAUUUGUGAAACCUAUUAUGAGAUGAUGUGUUAAUGUUCAACUUUUCUCCAUUUUGGCCGGUCCAGUAUAUUACAUCAUUUUAACAAUUUUCAUGUUAUUUAUCUGUGUGUAGGAUUAUACUGAAAGCGCUUAAUGUCAUGCCUAGGAGCUUUUUCUCUUCCAUUAUUUCAAAUUUGUCCUUUUUCCUUUGUUUAAUAUGUCACCAUUUGCUUGAAAAAUGUUAAAUCAAACAUUUAUGCUUUUCAACUUACUAGAAAGUUAAGUCCUGGAUUGUACCUUGACUUCAGAACUCGGAUUGGCCAAUUGGUGAUGCUCCUCUUUCACUUUGUUAUAUCGUUCAAUCACUGACUUCAUGCUGUAAAUGAACCAUAUUAGAAAUGUUUUAUUGUUGAAAAAGUGAAGGGCGAACAGUGUAGAAUGAAUAUAGAUGCCUAAACCAAGAGGCUACUGUAGAGGAUAUUGCAGGGUAAGGAGAUUAGCAGGAACAACAGUAAUAGAAUUGAGUAAUGGAAGCAGGAAUUAGUGCAUGCUCUUCGUUUAUAAGAUGCACAAUGAAUUUAAACCAAGCAAAUUUUAGCAGUAGUAGCUUAAAGCUCUCAUGACUCGUGAGUAGCAGGGCACAAAGAAGGAAGGAUGCACGACAGCCAUUUGGAAAUCCAAUCAUCAGUUUCAUUUUCUAGCCAGAACUCAACAAAAGUUUCCCAGUAGAACUCGGGAGUUAUAAGCUGCUGCUUAUUUGAUGUUUCUAGGCCUUAAUCUUUUCCUCUAUUUGGUCAUCCAAGUGGUUCCUUUUUAUUUAUUGCAUCUUCCCGCAGGGGGGUGGGGGUUGCCAAGGGAGAGAACCUAUCAACUCUGGAAUGACGCUAACAUAAUUCAGGCAUCCCAGGUAAUCCAGUCUUAUGGUUCGUCAUUAUCUGCAUAUGGCCUUUUUUUCCUCUCCUUGCUUUAUGUGUAAUCUAACAGAGCAAUUAUCUUGUGAUCAAGGAAUACCACCGACAUAUCACAUGUUGAUUAGCUAUGUUAAAAUUUUCAAAAAAGAAUUAGAUUCUACAGUUCCACUCAAAUUCCAGUACGGUGAAAUAAUGAGAUGGUUGUACUGAAUUUGUAGCUGAUAACUUUAGAGGCUCACUGUAUCAUGCAGCAGAGAUCUGAAGUGAAGCAAUGACCUACUGCAUUGCAGUGCUCCAGUGUCAAUGCAUGAUUUGCCUAUUAUCUUAGUUUGAUGAUGCAGUUUAUUUUUCAUAUGUUUUGUGCAGGGCAUCAGCCAUAUUCCAAGUUCUAAAUUCUUAAACAGUACAGUGAAAGAAAAUAGUAUUGCGAACCUCUACAAGUGAAUGAGAAAUUUAUACCCCCUUCUGAAGCUUUUUCUUCUUGUUUUAAA